This 254-nucleotide ribosomal RNA is filed under the name uncultured bacterium. RNAcentral's name for it is "partial 16S ribosomal RNA". It matches the Rfam family "Bacterial small subunit ribosomal RNA", at positions 524 to 776 of the family's 1533-position model. The record is from RNAcentral.
CACGUAGGGGGCGAGCGUUGUCCGGAUUUAUUGGGCGUAAAGAGCUCGUAGGCGGCUCAGUAAGUCAGGUGUGAAAACUCCAGGCUCAACCUGGAGACGCCACCUGAUACUGCUGUGGCUAGAGUCCGGUAGGGGAGCAUGGAAUUCCCGGUGUAGCGGUGAAAUGCGCAGAUAUCGGGAAGAACACCCGUGGCGAAGGCGGUUCUCUGGGACGGUACUGACGCUGAGACGCGAAAGCGUGGGGAGCGAACAGG